AGUGCCUGGCAGCACUGUGUUCCUGUUAGAGCCACCAGCACAAGCACCAGACGAUGCUGAUCCAGGUGAAGGCCCCAGUGCAGCAGCAACAGCACAUGAUGGAGACGAUGAUGAGGAGGAGACCAUCUCUCUGGAUUCCAGAAGGCAUGAGGUAUCAUGUUAAGACGGUGAAAGUACUAUUUACUCUACAAUGGUGAGGAGUCCUCAUCAAAAUCAAAAAAUCUAAUUUCUUUUACAGGACCCAGAUGCUAUACAGUGGGAAAACCAGCCUGGCAACAUAGUGCGUAUUAAUAAAAGGACACCACAUCCUGCCAAAUUCCAGCUGCGCUAAUUGUAUUGUGUUCACAGAGCUCACAAGCUAUCAGAAAGUUGUAUGGCAACCACCUCCGGCGCAAAUAGAACUGGCAGACAUAGACAUUCAGUACAAGAAGAAAAAGAUGGAAAAUCUUGCACUGGAGUCCGAAAUAAAAAAGAGGACAAUUAGGAAACUGGACCUUGAAAUAAAAAAACUUGAGAGGGAGCUCCAAGAAGAUGACACAGCUCAAAAUAAAAAUGAGCAAUCAGUACAACCAAGUCAUCGUUAUAAGGCAUCGCCCUCUCUUUUGCCCACCCCCAGCACCAGGUGUGGCCACUAGCCUAUAUGAAGGCCCAAAAUUGUGUGUUCCUUUCUGCUCUGACAAUGGCAUGCCCAUUCGUGCGAGAUGUGGUGGAUGAAGAAGCACUUGUGCUGAGGAGAGCCUUCAGGCGAGAAAGGGUCUUCAGGGACCGGUUGGACCCACUGGCCUUCCCUGAUGACCAUCUAUAUGAAAGAUACAGGUUUUCUGCAGAUGGCAUCAGGUAUCUAUGCAGACUACUGGGUCCCAGGAUUAAGCACCGCACUGCACGGAGCCAUGCACUGAGUGUGGAGCAAAUGGUUUGUGUGGCCUUGCGCUUUUUUGCUAGUGGAGCCUUCCUGUACUCAGUGGGGGAUGCAGAACAGCUGAACAAGGCCACAAUUUGCCGCACAAUAAGGAGUGUGUGUCUGGCUAUCAAAGCAUUAGCAGAUGUCUUCAUCUCCUUCCUGGCCACAGAAGACUCUGUG
Oncorhynchus nerka (sockeye salmon) is the source of this 1081-nucleotide long non-coding RNA. RefSeq lists it as uncharacterized. The record is from RefSeq and is a predicted model, not a curated record. The transcript is spliced from 4 exons. NCBI's taxonomy places the organism in Eukaryota, Metazoa, Chordata, Actinopteri, Salmoniformes, Salmonidae.